This 445-nucleotide long non-coding RNA is filed under the name Mytilus galloprovincialis (Mediterranean mussel). Lineage: Eukaryota; Metazoa; Mollusca; Bivalvia; Mytilida; Mytilidae. The record is from RNAcentral.
UAGAAUGAAAUUCAAAACAGUGUGGCUGUGGCCAUUGAUUGACACAUUAAAUUCAUCCAUUGACUGGGAAAAUUUACGUGAACGUUUGUCUGUAACGACCACUGUUCACGACGUACCUACGAUAGAUAUUUAAACUGUGGGGUCACCAAAGGUUUCUUAACGUCUUUAAUUAUAAAAUAAUUCGAAAAAUUAAUCAGGAAUAAUCUUUAUGUUUUGAUUUAUAUAAUUGAUAUAAAUCAAAACAUCGUGUUAUUUCUGAUUAAUUUUUCGAAUUACUUUAUUAAGGCGUUGAGAACCUUUGGUGACCCCAUAGUUUAAGUGUCUUUAAAAAGUACAUAGUGAGCAGUGAUCGUUACAUACAAACGUUCACCUAAAUUGUCCCAGUCAAUGGAUGAAUUUAAUGUGUCAAUCAAUGGCCACAGCCACACUGUUUUGAAUUUCAUAG